This 468-nucleotide ribosomal RNA is filed under the name uncultured bacterium. RNAcentral's name for it is "partial 16S ribosomal RNA". It matches the Rfam family "Bacterial small subunit ribosomal RNA", at positions 28 to 507 of the family's 1533-position model. The record is from RNAcentral.
GACGAACGCUGGCGGCGUGCUUAACACAUGCAAGUCGAACGGAAAGGCCCUGCUUUUGUGGGGUGCUCGAGUGGCGAACGGGUGAGUAACACGUGAGUAACCUGCCCUUGACUUUGGGAUAACUUCAGGAAACUGGGGCUAAUACCGGAUAGGAUCUCCUGCUGCAUGGUGGGGGUUGGAAAGUUUCGGCGGUUGGGGAUGGACUCGCGGCUUAUCAGCUUGUUUGUGGGGUAGUGGCUUACCAAGGCUUUGACGGGUAGCCGGCCUGGGAGGGUGACCGGCCACAUUGGGACUGAGAUACGGCGCAGAAUCCUACGGGAGGCAGCAGUGGGGAAUAUUGCACAAUGGGCGGAAGCCUGAUGCAGCAACGCCGCGUGCGGGAUGACGGCCUUCGGGUUGUAAACCGCUUUCGCCUGUGACGAAGCGUGAGUGACGGUAAUGGGUAAAGAAGCACCGGCUAACUACGUG